AUAUUUUGGUAUUCUGUGGCAAUCUUGAUAAAAGUAAAAGCUUCAAUUCGUAAAGCUUUUCCCCACAUGUGUGGUGAACAAAAUAAUGUAAAUAGAAAACAGCUGAUUUCUAUUCAAAUUAUUCGUUAAAAUGGACUGUUCUGCAACUAAACCCAAACACGAUAGAGCUACAUACGAGCAACUGGAGGCAUAUGUUUUAUUUUGCCAAGCACACCCAGAAAUGGGUACGGGAAAAACUGCCCAAAAACGCCUCAACAAAUGAAGGAGCUGUGGCAGCAGCUGGCAGAUGAGCUUAAUUSGUGCAGAGGACCAAUACGAAGUGCUGCAAAAUGGAAAGAGACGUUAGGCGUUUGGAAAAGCCAACUGCGCACUCGUGC
This is a long non-coding RNA of Bactrocera latifrons, 377 nucleotides long. RefSeq lists it as uncharacterized. The transcript has 3 exons. NCBI's taxonomy places the organism in Eukaryota, Metazoa, Arthropoda, Insecta, Diptera, Tephritidae. The record is from RefSeq and is a predicted model, not a curated record.